CCUACGGGUGGUAGCAGUGGGGAAUAUUGCGCAAUGGGCGAAAGCCUGACGCAGCGACGCCGCGUGAGGGAUGAAGGUCUUCGGAUCGUAAACCUCUGUCCGCAGGGAAGAACGGUCACUGUGCUAAUCAGCCGUGAAUUGACGGUACCUGCAAAGGAAGCACCGGCUAACUCCGUGCCAGCAGCCGCGGUAAUACGGAGGGUGCGUGCGUUAAUCGGAAUUACUGGGCGUAAAGCGCUCGUAGGCGGUAGGUCAAGUCAAGGGUGAAAUCCCCGCGCGCAACGUGGGAACUGCCGUUGAAACUGGCAAACGGGAGGGGGAGAGAGGAAAGUGGAAUUCCAGGUGUAGGGGUGAAAGCCAGAGAUAUCAGGAGGAACAGCAGUUGCGAAGGCGACAAUCUGGCACAUAACUGACGCUGAGGAGCGAAAGCGUGGGUAGCAAACAGGAUUAGAUACCCCAGUAGUC
Molecule: ribosomal RNA, 465 nt
Filed under: uncultured bacterium
Lineage: Bacteria
Description: partial 16S ribosomal RNA
Rfam family: Bacterial small subunit ribosomal RNA
Source: RNAcentral